UACGUAGGGUGCGAGCGUUGUCCGGAUUUAUUGGGCGUAAAGGGCUCGUAGGCGGCUUGUCGCGUCGGGAGUGAAAGCCCGCUGCUUAACGGCGGGUUGGCUUUCGGUACGGGCAGGCUGGAGUGUGGCAGGGGAGACUGGAAUUCCUGGUGUAGCGGUGGAAUGCGCAGAUAUCAGGAGGAACACCGGUGGCGAAGGCGGGUCUCUGGGCCAUUACUGACGCUGAGGAGCGAAAGCGUGGGGAG
Molecule: ribosomal RNA, 245 nt
Filed under: uncultured Actinospica sp.
Lineage: Bacteria; Bacillati; Actinomycetota; Actinomycetes; Catenulisporales; Actinospicaceae
Description: partial 16S ribosomal RNA
Rfam family: Bacterial small subunit ribosomal RNA
Source: RNAcentral